CAGUGUCUCUCAUUUUCCGUCGAGGUUGGGGACGAGGCUCCGUCGACGGCCAUUUUGAAUUUUGUUGGAGUGUUUUGUGUAGCAAGAGAAAUUCACUGUCUUUCCAAAUGUGGUACGAAGCUUUGCCUGGGUUGAUAAUCAUUGGAAGUUGCAUAGCCUUCACUGGCUGGGGAUUGAAGGUUGUUGACCGAUUGUUUCAGGAAGGCAAGCCUAGCAGAUACAAUGUGGAUAAGUUUGACCAAAGAAUGAUUGACAGGGAUGAAAAGAUUACUGGAUCUCAAUUCAGACAAAAGUCUUUGUAGAGGAGCAAGGCCAAGUGAAGUGCUGUAGUUCUGUUUGUGGACUUUUGAAAUUUCAUGCUGGGAAUAUGUUCUUGUGUUAAUGAAGCUGCCAGGUCUUUCGUAAACUUCAUGUAAUUCUGAGUACCCUUAAAAUCACUUGUAAAUAAACUGAAAUUAUCACCUUGA
This is a long non-coding RNA of Orbicella faveolata, 467 nucleotides long. The record is from RefSeq and is a predicted model, not a curated record. Lineage: Eukaryota; Metazoa; Cnidaria; Anthozoa; Scleractinia; Merulinidae.